This 245-nucleotide ribosomal RNA is filed under the name uncultured bacterium. RNAcentral describes it as "partial small subunit ribosomal RNA". It matches the Rfam family "Bacterial small subunit ribosomal RNA", at positions 26 to 285 of the family's 1533-position model. The record is from RNAcentral.
AGAAUCAACGCUGGCGGCGUGCCUAACACAUGCAAGUCGAACGAGAAAGUGGAGCAAUCCAUGAGUAAAGUGGCGCACGGGUGAGUAACACGUGACUAACCUACCCUUGAGUGGGGGAUAACCUAGAGAAAUCUGGGCUAAUACCGCAUAAUACCUUCGGGUCAAAGGAGCAAUUCGCUUAAGGAGGGGGUCGCGGCCGAUUAGUUAGUUGGCGGGGUAAUGGUCCACCAAGACUAUGAUCGGUA